This is a long non-coding RNA of Cannabis sativa, 968 nucleotides long. RefSeq lists it as uncharacterized. The transcript has 8 exons. The record is from RefSeq and is a predicted model, not a curated record. Lineage: Eukaryota; Viridiplantae; Streptophyta; Magnoliopsida; Rosales; Cannabaceae.
UGUUGAUGGUGCAGUUCAACUGGUGGUUGAUCGCCCAUAUAAGGCUGGAGAAUCUAUUGCUGUUUGGUGUGGGCCACAGCCUAACUCAAAAUUGCUUAUAAACUAUGGAUUUGUCGAUGAAGAUAAUCCUUAUGACCGGUUGGUGAUUGAGGCGGCUUUGAAUACGGAGGAUCCCCAGUAUCAAGAUAAAAGAAUGGUUGCUCAGAGGAAUGGAAAAUUAUCUGUGCAAGUUUUUCAUGUGUAUGCUGGUAAGGAAAGGGAAGCUAUACUGGAUUUGCUUCCAUAUAUUCGAUUGGGCUAUUUAUGAGAACCUUCAGAGAUGCAAUCUGUUAUCUCUUCUCAGGGUCCAGUUUGUCCAGGUGUAAUCCACAGGGAUGUCAAACCUGGAAACUUCCUCUUCUCUCGUAAGGCCAGUAAAGGUUACCUGAUUGAUUUCAACCUGGCAAUGGACUUACAUCAGAAAUAUGGAAACACUGGCUAUACUAAAGAUAAUCAAGCAUUGCAAGGAGUUUAACUCAUUCAUAUCAUUUUUGAGAUGUUCAUGGUCAGUUUUCAGAUUUGUUAAGAUUGUUUGAGUAUGGUGGAUUUCCACCUGAAGCAAACUAUCUGUUACUAGGAGACUAUGUGGACCGUGGUAAGCAGAGUAUAGAGACUAUAUGCCUUCUUCUCGCGUACAAGAUCAAGUACAAGGAGAAUUUCUUUCUUGAUGCAAACCGAACAAUGACUUCAAAGUACAAUCAGUUCACCAUUCAAGUAGUUGAACCAAUGGAAGAUUAGGAAGAAGUUACCUUUUUUUUUUUUUUUACAGUAAUUUUAUUUUAUUUAGUGUUGAGACUUUUCUUGCUGCUGAGCUUGUUUUUCUUUCUCUUGACUUGUUAUUUAUGGAUUUACAUGGAGUAGUGUAUGCAAGUAUUUCAUAUACCCAAUUUUCUAAAAGUAAAUAAUAAGUAUUAUUUUAUUAUGAUUUA